Molecule: long non-coding RNA, 2533 nt
Organism: Mobula hypostoma (lesser devil ray)
Lineage: Eukaryota; Metazoa; Chordata; Chondrichthyes; Myliobatiformes; Myliobatidae
Exons: 3
Source: RefSeq, a predicted model, not a curated record
CUUGAUUUCUUCACUUUAAGGAGGUUCAGCUUGUCACCGAACAUUCUGGUCAUGUUGAGUGAGAGAAGAGGGUAACAAGUGCACUGAUGACACAGUAGCUGCUCCACAGGCAAGUUCUGGAGACACAACAGACUGCGGAUGCUGGAAUCCAGAGGGAAAAAGUGGGUCUGCUAGAGGGAGGCAGCACCAGAGGAGGGAAAUGGACUGUCGAACGUUGACUGCCCGAGCCACCAAGUUCCUCCAGCAGCUAAUUGUUUGUUCAAGUAAAUCCUGGACUUGCAUGGAACUGCUUUAUGUCUGGAAUUAGCUGAGUGAUGGAUGCCAGUGCACGUGUUACACUAUCCAUUGUUGAGGUCCACAGAAAGUCCAUCAGCAGGGACAUUGAUCGGGUGAAUUUUCUUUAUGUGAGUUGCUGUGACACAGAGGGACCCUGCAAGCUGUAGACAAGGUCAUCUGGCCAAGAGGUGAAUGGGAGCAGUUAGACAGCGGGAACAGACAAAAGAAUGUGUGAGUUGUGAAAGGCAGAGCAAAAGGACAAGCCUCCCACUCUCCGGGGUGAAUAGAACAGAACUUCACUGGCAUUGCUGAAGGCAACGAGAUUGCAGAGAAAACAACCCAAGCUGAUAUUGCAGAUGUAUAACCAAAGCAGACCGAGAAAUCAAGUGACCCGAAAUUAGACCAUAAGACAUGGCAGCAGAAUUAGGCCAUCUGGCCCAUCGAGUCUGCUCCACCAUUCAAUCAUGGCUGAUCCUUUUUCUCUCCUCCUCAACCCCAUUUCCCGGCACCUUUGAUGCUGUGGCCAGUCAAGAACCUAUAGAGCUUUGCCUUAAAUAUACCCAACGACCUGCCUGUGGCAACAAAUUCCACAUAUUCACCACCCUCUGGCUGAAGAAAUUUCUCCGCAUCUCUAUGUUAAAUGGACACCCCUCUAUCCGGAGGCUGCACCCUCUUGUCCUAGACUCCCCCAGCACGGGAAGCAUCCUUUCCACAUCUACUCUGUCUAGGCCCGUCAACAUUCAAAAGGUUUCAAUGAGAUCAGCACCCCCCCCCCAUCCUUCUAAAUUCCAGCAAGUACAGACCCAGUUCCUCGUAUAAAUAACCCUUUCAUUCCUAGAAUCAUCCUUGUGAACCUCCCUUGGACCCUCUCCAACGUCAGCACAUCUCUUCUAAGAAGAGGAGCCCAAAACUGUACACAAUACUCAAGGUGAGGCCUCACCAGUGCCUUAAAGCCUCAGCAUCACAUCCUUGCUCUUGUAUUCUAGACCUCCUGAAACAUUGCAUUUGCUUUCCUCACCACCGACUCCACCUGCAAGUUAACCUUCAGGGUGUUCUGCACAAGGACUCCCAAGUCCCUCCACAUCUCAGAUUUUUGGAUUUUCUCCCCGUUUAGAAAAUAGACUGCACAUUGAUUUCUUCUACCAAAGUGUAUGACCAUGCCUUUUCCAACAUUGUAUUUCAUUUGCCACUCUCCCUACCUGCCCCUCCACCAAUCUUCGUAUCAUCUGCAAACUUGGCAACAAAGCCAUCCAUUUUAUCGUCUCAAUCAGGGGUGGCCAAACUCUUACAUCCCAUGUGUCAAUUUUUUCACGCACAAGUUUAGAUGUGCCAGACAACUCUUGUACCCCCAUUCAAUUCUUGUAAAAAUAUGUUAAUAUAGACAUAUUUAGCAUUUUUACAUGAUAUGUUGAUUUAAUGCAAAAACAAGAUAAACAUUACUUACCUUAAUGAGACCUUUAACAAAUAGAUUUUGUCUUCUUUCGAUUUCUUCCCUUUUCUUAAUCACAUAUUCGUUCCGUAAUUCAGACCCAAGCACUAGCUUCAGUUUUCCUUCUAUUUCAAUCUGAUGCUGUGUUUUAUGGUGUCUAUUAAGAUCAUGCCUUCUAUUAUGUGAGAAAGUGUUUUCACAAACAAUGCACAAGGGUUUUCCUGACAGAGCCGCUAUAAAUAAGAACUCACUUUCCCACUGUUCAUUGAAUUCACGUUUACUGUCACUUUCUGCUCUUCUUUUGCUCAUUUCCUUUUGCACUGUGAUGGGUAACUGAAUGUAAAGACAAGGCUUAAUUGCAGAUGUUGACAAAGGACGAACAAAGCACAACUCCACAGCACACAAGUGUCAAUUGUAAACUGACUGGCAAAAACCUGCGACACACCACUGGUGCAGAUGCCUGGCACCUCAGGAUCAAACAAGUAUCAAACAUGUAUUGAACAGUUAUGGAACGACUGCAGAACAAAAGUCCUUCUUUCCUAGCUUGACUCAUUGAACAUUUUUUAAAAUUGAAAAUAGAUUAAUGUGAAAGAAGAUAACAUUCGCCAAAAGCUGUGCACGAAAUAAUAAAAUCACUAAAAAUAAUUACUAAGUUUUAGAUUUAUUCUCAGUAAAACCCAUUUCUAGCUCUAAGCUACUUGAAUUCCUGUUAUAGAUUUUUUUUCUACAAAUUGGUUUUUGGUUAAUACUUUUUGCAUGAGUAGGCUUUUUUUUAUUAUUAUCACUGGGGUGCAACGUGCCUCUUCUAAUCAUCCAAUGCACCACUUU